GAUGAACGCUGGCGGCGUGCUUAACACAUGCAAGUCGAGCGAUGAAGUUUCCUUCGGGAAACGGAUUAGCGGCGGACGGGUGAGUAACACGUGGGUAACCUGCCUCAUAGAGUGGAAUAGCCUUUCGAAAGGAAGAUUAAUACCGCAUAAUGUUGAAAGAUGGCAUCAUCAUUCAACCAAAGGAGCAAUCCGCUAUGAGAUGGACCCGCGGCGCAUUAGCUAGUUGGUGGGGUAACGGCCUACCAAGGCGACGAUGCGUAGCCGACCUGAGAGGGUGAUCGGCCACAUUGGGACUGAGACACGGCCCAGACUCCUACGGGAGGCAGCAGUGGGGAAUAGUGCACAAAGGGGGAAACCCUGAUGCAGCAACGCCGCGUGAGUGAUGAAGGUUUUCGGAUCGUAAAGCUCUGUCUUUGGGGAAGAUAAUGACGGUACCCAAGGAGGAAGCCACGGCUAACUACGUGCCAGCCGCCGCCGUAA
Molecule: ribosomal RNA, 480 nt
Filed under: uncultured bacterium
Lineage: Bacteria
Description: partial 16S ribosomal RNA
Rfam family: Bacterial small subunit ribosomal RNA
Source: RNAcentral